Molecule: ribosomal RNA, 468 nt
Filed under: uncultured bacterium
Lineage: Bacteria
Description: partial 16S ribosomal RNA
Rfam family: Bacterial small subunit ribosomal RNA
Source: RNAcentral
GACGAACGCUGGCGGCGUGCUUAACACAUGCAAGUCGAACGGAAAGGCCCUGCUUUUGUGGGGUGCUCGAGUGGCGAACGGAUGAGUAACACGUGAGUAACCUGCCCUUGACUUUGGGAUAACUUCAGGAAACUGGGGCUAAUACCUGAUAGGAGCUCCUGCUGCAUGGUGGGGGUUGGAAAGUUUCGGCGGUUGGGGAUGGACUCGCGGCUUAUCAGCUUGUUGGUGGGGUAGUGGCUUACCAAGGCUUUGACGGGUAGCCGGCCUGAGAGGGUGACCGGCCACAUUGGGACUGAGAUACGGCCCAGACUCCUACGGGAGGCAGCAGUGGGGAAUAUUGCACAAUGGGCGGAAGCCUGAUGCAGCAACGCCGCGUGCGGGAUGACGGCCUUCGGGUUGUAAACCGCUUUCGCCUGUGACGAAGCGUGAGUGACGGUAAUGGGUAAAGAAGCACCGGCUAACUACGUG